Molecule: transfer-messenger RNA, 380 nt
Filed under: Patescibacteria group
Lineage: Bacteria
Also listed under: 3 other names
Description: 1-14-0-10-37-14 sp002778705 Standard tmRNA
Rfam family: transfer-messenger RNA
About the family: Bacterial tmRNA, also known as 10Sa RNA or SsrA, is named for its dual tRNA and mRNA-like properties.
Source: RNAcentral
GGGGAUGCCGGGAUUAGACAGUGAGGUCAGUCCGGUUACCGGCCAAGCGGCGCUCGGGUUGCGCCUUAAACCACCUGAAAACUAUAAUUGCCAACACUGGCAAGCCGGCGUUCGCUUGGAACGUCCCGGCCUUCGUUACCGCCUAAUAAGCCGUAACCAUCGCUACCGUUUCGCCUCGGAACGGAUCUAGCGGUGUCAUUCACGAGGACGCUCGCGAUAAUGAGCUAACAAGUUAUCGUGCUAAGACCCAUUGCUAGCUCGUUGAAUAUUAUUUCGUCUUUUUAAUAGAUGUUCAGCUAAACAAAAUAAAAAGACUAUGCUUGGUAGAUGGUAAUCAGAUUGCUUAUUGGACAGGAGUUCAACUCUCCUCAUCUCCACCU